UACGUAGGUGGCAAGCGUUAUCCGGAUUUAUUGGGCGUAAAGGGAACGCAGGCGGUCUUUUAAGUCUGAUGUGAAAGCCUUCGGCUUAACCGGAGUAGUGCAUUGGAAACUGGGAGACUUGAGUGCAGAAGAGGAGAGUGGAACUCCAUGUGUAGCCGUGAAAUGCGUAGAUAUAUGGAAGAACACCAGUGGCGAAAGCGGCUCUCUGGUCUGUAACUGACGCUGAGGUUCGAAAGCGUGGGUAGCAAACAGG
Molecule: ribosomal RNA, 253 nt
Filed under: uncultured bacterium
Lineage: Bacteria
Description: partial 16S ribosomal RNA
Rfam family: Bacterial small subunit ribosomal RNA
Source: RNAcentral